GAUGAACGCUGGCGGCGUGCCUAAUACAUGCAAGUCGAGCGAACUUUUGGGAGCUUGCUCCCAACAGUUAGCGGCGGACGGGUGAGUAACACGUGGGUAACCUGCCUGUAAGACUGGGAUAACUUCGGGAAACCGGAGCUAAUACCGGAUAACAUUGAAGACCACAUGGACUUCAAUUAAAAGGUGGCUUUUAGCUACCACUUACAGAUGGACCCGCGGCGCAUUAGCUAGUUGGUGAGGUAACGGCUCACCAAGGCGACGAUGCGUAGCCGACCUGAGAGGGUGAUCGGCCACACUGGGACUGAGACACGGCCCAGACUCCUACGGGAGGCAGCAGGAGGGAAUCUUCCGAAAUAGACGAAAGGCUGACGGAGCAACGCCGGGGGAGCGAAGAAGGCCUUCGGGUCGUAAAGCUCUGUUGUUAGGGAAGAACAAGUAUCGUUCGAAUAGGGCGGUACCUUGACGGUACCUAACCAGAAAGCCACGGCUAACUACGUG
RNAcentral lists this ribosomal RNA (498 nucleotides) under uncultured bacterium. RNAcentral describes it as "partial 16S ribosomal RNA". It matches the Rfam family "Bacterial small subunit ribosomal RNA", at positions 28 to 507 of the family's 1533-position model. The record is from RNAcentral.